Molecule: ribosomal RNA, 1710 nt
Filed under: Coccorella atlantica (Atlantic sabertooth)
Lineage: Eukaryota; Metazoa; Chordata; Actinopteri; Aulopiformes; Evermannellidae
Description: 16S ribosomal RNA
Rfam family: Bacterial large subunit ribosomal RNA
Source: RNAcentral
GCCUAAUAGCUAGCCCACCCAAAUAAACCAAACCGACACCAUUCUCUACUUUUACAGAAGCAAGGACAAAACAAACCAUUUUUCCCCCUAAGUACGGGCGACAGAAAAGGGGACCCUUAGGAGCAACAGACUAAGUACCGCAAGGGAACGCUGAAAGAGAAAUGAAACAACCUUAUAAGCCAAAAAAAGCAGAGUUGAACCCUCGUACCUUUUGCAUCAUGAUUAAGCUAGUAAAAUGAAGCAAAGCGCCCUUUAGUUUUUUACCCCGAAACUAGGCGAGCUACUCCGAGACAGCCUAUUGCAGGGCCAACCCGUCUCUGUGGCAAAAGAGUGGGAAGAACUCUGAGUAGAGGUGACAGACCUACCGAGCCUAGUAAUAGCUGGUUGCCUAGGAAAUGAAUAGAAGUUCAGCCCUCCCACCACCCCACCCCAAUCCGUAACUUUACACAAACGGCCCUGGAAACAUAGAGGAGGUGUUAGUCAAAGAAGGUCCAGCUUCUUUGAACAAAGACACAACUUUUUUAGGAGGAUAAAGAUCAUAAAAAGAAAAGGGUUAACCAUUCUAGUGGGCCUGAAAGCAGCCACCUAAAAGAAAAGCGUUAAAGCUUAUGCUAUUCCUUAAACCCUAUAAUCACGAUACUGUUAUCUUACACCCCUAAAUCUACUAGGCCAUUUCAUGCCCUCAUGAAAGAGACCAUGCUUGAAUGAGUAAUAAGAGGGCAAGACCCUCUCCCAGCACACGUGUAAGUCGGGCAGGACCCCCCACCGACACUUAACGGCCCCAGCCCUCAGAGGGAAAUGAGCCCCAACCCACGAACCGACUAGAAAAGCGCUCAACUAAUCAAACCGUUAACCCCACACAGGAGUGCUACCCCGGGAAAGACUCAAACGCAGGGAAGGAACUCGGCAAACACAAGCCUCGCCUGUUUACCAAAAACAUCGCCUCUUGCAAGCAAAAGAAUAAGAGGUCCUGCCUGCCCGGUGACUCAUAAAGUUAAACGGCCGCAGUAUCUUAACUGUGCGAAGGUAGCGCAAUCACUUGUCCUUUAAUUGAGGACCUGUAUGAAUGGCAAGACGAGGGCUUAGCUGUCUCCCCUGCCCCGUCAAUGAAAUUGAUCUCCCCGUGCAGAAGCGGGGUUAACCCUAUAAGACGAGAAGACCCUAUGGAGCUUUAGACAACCAAACGCCUCACAUAAGACAGCCUAAAAGAAAAAAGCUGCCCAUCUUAGUGAUACCCUCCGUUUUAUGUCUUUGGUUGGGGCGACCGUGGGGAAAAGAAAACCCCCCAUGAAGACGUUAAAGACUCUCUUUUAUAACCAAGAGCCUACUACUCAAAGUAUCAGACACCUCUGACCCAAAUGAUCCGGCUUAUUAGCCGAUCAACGAACCGAGUUACCCUAGGGAUAACAGCGCAAUCCUCUCUUAGAGCCCCUAUCGCCGAGAGGGUUUACGACCUCGAUGUUGGAUCAGGACAUCCUAAUGGUGCAGCCGCUAUUAAGGGUUCGUUUGUUCAACGAUUAAUAGUCCUACGCGAUCUGAGUUCAGACCGGAGCAAUCCAGGUCAGUUUCUAUCUAUGCCUUGCUCUUUUCUAGUACGAAAGGACCGAGAAGACGGGGCCCAUAUUCCCAAUACGCCCCUCCCCCACUUGAAGAAUACAACUAAAACAAGAAAAGGGGCAAACCAAAAAAUCCGCCAAAGACCAUGGCUUU